This 208-nucleotide long non-coding RNA is filed under the name Panax ginseng (ginseng). Its description in RNAcentral is "long non-coding RNA (PGIN_LNC018092)". Lineage: Eukaryota; Viridiplantae; Streptophyta; Magnoliopsida; Apiales; Araliaceae. The record is from RNAcentral.
GUCAACAAACAAAAGCAGGCGAUGGCAACUGAGAUUGAGCCCUUUACCGAAAGUAGUUCCGAACCGAUGGUGAUUCCUGCCGGUGGGACGGAGGAGGUCGAGUUGAUCCUUGGAAAACCAGACAAGACCGUGAAGAUCGGUUCGGGUCUACUAGAACCUCUUCGGACAAACCUUAUAGAACUCUUACGCUGCUAUGCGGAUAUUUUUG